The submitters of this non-coding RNA (47 nucleotides) gave its source as unclassified sequences. The record is from Rfam.
GUCGUUCAUCCAUAAGGACGGAAGUAGGGAAACCGAAGGAACGCAUC